Molecule: ribosomal RNA, 520 nt
Filed under: uncultured Glomus
Lineage: Eukaryota; Fungi; Glomeromycota; Glomeromycetes; Glomerales; Glomeraceae
Description: SSU rRNA
Rfam family: Eukaryotic small subunit ribosomal RNA
Source: RNAcentral
AGCAGCCGCGGUAAUUCCAGCUCCAAUAGCGUAUAUUAAAGUUGUUGCAGUUAAAAAGCUCGUAGUUGAAUUUCGGGAUCAAUAUGUCGGUCGUGCCAUUGGUACGUACUGGUAUCAUUGAUUUCUCCUUUCUGACGAACCAUGAUGUCAUUAAUUUGGUGUUAUGGGGAGUUAGGACCGUUACUUUGAAAAAAUUAGAGUGUUUAAAGCAGGCAUUAGCUUGAAUACAUUAGCAUGGAAUAAUGAAAUAGGACGUUUGACCCUAUUUUGUUGGUUUCUAGGAUCGACGUAAUGAUUAAUAGGGAUAGUUGGGGGCAUUAGUAUUCAAUUGUCAGAGGUGAAAUUCUUGGAUUUAUUGAAGACUAACUACUGCGAAAGCAUUUGCCAAGGAUGUUUUCAUUAAUCAAGAACGAAAGUUAGGGGAUCGAAGACGAUCAGAUACCGUCGUAGUCUUAACCAUAAACUAUGCCGACUAGGGAUCGGAUGAUGUUAAUUUUUAAUGACUCAUUCGGCGCCUUAA